AUAAACUGUUUCCUUUUUGUCUUUGUAUCACCAGCAGCUAACAUAGUGCUUGGCACUAGAUACUUAGUAAACGCUUUUGGAUCGAUAGAACAGGCCACUGAUAGAUGGCCUUUAACACAAAUACACACAUAUCCCUGGUGUCCUUUCAACCAGGAACAUCUCUCCUGUGGGCAUGUCCCACAUGUAGUUCAUGAAGGAACCCAUGUAUGUAAUACAUGCCUGUCACAAAGCCUCUGCCACAUAACAGGGCUGUUUGUUAAAGCCCUGUGCCUACUCAGUCUCAGAGAAGAAAGCCAGCAAGACCCCAGAGAACAGGAGGGAUGCUGAAACCUACAGACCGAGCCAGAGAGACAGAUGGUGCCCUGAGUGCUGAGAGAAUAAUUUGGAGCCUUGGAGAAGAAGAGGAAAGAUGAGACACAUAAUAAGAGACUGGGAUUAACCACCUCUCUCCUACACAAUACUUGUGGUCUGCCCCAAAGAACAUAAACUCCUAGAGGGAAAAGACUGUCUUUCUUUUGUAUCAGUAUUUCUCAAAUUUCAGGAACUCAGCCAAUGCCUAAAGGUACUACAUAAAAUGCUAUGACAUCAAGUUUGCUAUAUCUGGCAUUGGGGUAGGGUAUUGAUGAAAGUGGAUAGAAGGAAUCUGCAAACUAUGUGAGAAGGGAGUUGUCAUUUUGCAAUGGGUCUGCAGAAGCAAUGAGAAAGUUCCUGGGGAACACCUAGA
Molecule: long non-coding RNA, 724 nt
Organism: Sarcophilus harrisii (Tasmanian devil)
Lineage: Eukaryota; Metazoa; Chordata; Mammalia; Dasyuromorphia; Dasyuridae
Exons: 4
Source: RefSeq, a predicted model, not a curated record